Molecule: ribosomal RNA, 315 nt
Filed under: Triticum aestivum (bread wheat)
Lineage: Eukaryota; Viridiplantae; Streptophyta; Magnoliopsida; Poales; Poaceae
Description: partial small subunit ribosomal RNA
Source: RNAcentral
AUGGGGUUCAUCAUCUCGCCGGCCUUGAGUGUCGCCGCUACGGGGCACGAGCAUGGAGGCGGCCGGGAUGGUGUGGUGCCGCCGCCGCUACGGGACACGAGCACGGAGGCGGCUGGGAUAGUGUGCUUAGGGAGUUGGGAGAGGAACAGGGGGAGACGAUGGCGGCCUGAGGGGGCGGCGCUGGGCGCCAUGGGGUUCAACAUCUCGCCGGCCUUGACUCGCGCACGUCUCGUUCCGCUCAGGGCACAUCCUGCCUCAGCAGCCACACCUGUCCCUCCAAGCACAGAGCUUGCUGCCCCCACCCCCGUACAAUGA